RNAcentral lists this ribosomal RNA (420 nucleotides) under uncultured bacterium. Its description in RNAcentral is "partial 16S ribosomal RNA". It matches the Rfam family "Bacterial small subunit ribosomal RNA", at positions 361 to 773 of the family's 1533-position model. The record is from RNAcentral.
ACAUUGGACAAUGGGCGAAAGCCUGAUCCAGCCAUGCCGCGUGUGUGAAGGAGGUCUUCGGAUUGUCAAGCUCUAUAAGUUGGGAGGAAGGGUUGUAGAUUACUACUCUGCAAUUUUGACGUUACCAACAGAAUAAGCACCGGCUAACUUCGCGCCAGCAGCCGCGGGAAUACAGAGUGUGCAAGUGUUAAUCGGAAUUAAUGGGCGUAAAGCGCGCAUAGGUGAUUCAGUAAGAUGGGUGUGAAAUCCCCGGGCUUAACCUGGGAACUGCUUUCAUAACUGCUGAGCUAGAGUACGGUAGAGGGUAGUGGAAUUUCCUGUGUAGCGGUAAAAUACGUAGAUAUAAGAAGGAACACCAGUGGCGAAGGCGACCACCUGGGCUAAUACUGACACUGAGGUGCGAAGGCGUGGGGAGCAAAC